AUGGGCGAUGGGUUGAUGAUACAAGAGGGAAGUUUUGUAAAAGCAAUAGGAAGAAUUGCUCAGAUACCCGUGAGUGAGGCUUACUUGGGUCGUGUUGUAAAUGCUCUGGCUAAACCUAUUGAUGGGAAAGGCGAAAUUAUAGCUUCCGAAUCUUGCUUAAUUGAAUCUCCUGCUCCAAGUAUAAUUUCCAGGCGUUCUGUAUACGAACUUCUUCAAACAAGGCUUAUUGCUAUCGAUUCGAUGAUCCCUAUAGGGCACGGUCAGCGAGAGUUAAUUAUUGGGGACAGACAGACUGGCAAAACAGCAGUAGCCACAGAUACAAUUCUCAAUCAAAAAGGGCAAGGUGUAAUAUGUGUUUAUGUAGCUAUCGGUCAAAGAGCAUCCUCCGUAGCUCAAGUAGUAACUACUUUCCAUGAGGAGGGGGCCAUGGAAUACACUAUUGUAGUAGCUGAAAUGGCGGAUUCACCUGCUACAUUACAAUACCUCGCUCCUUAUACGGGAGCAGCCCUGGCUGAGUAUUUUAUGUACCGUGAACGACAUAAUUUAAUAAUUUAUGAUGAUCUCUCCAAACAGGCACAAGCUUAUCGCCAAAUGUCCCUUCUAUUAAGAAGACCUCCUGGCCGUGAGACUUAUCCAAGGGUUGUUUUUUUAUUUGCAUUCACGCCUUUUAGAAAGAGCCGCUAA
This 684-nucleotide ribosomal RNA is filed under the name Triticum aestivum (bread wheat). Its description in RNAcentral is "partial small subunit ribosomal RNA". Lineage: Eukaryota; Viridiplantae; Streptophyta; Magnoliopsida; Poales; Poaceae. The record is from RNAcentral.